This 552-nucleotide ribosomal RNA is filed under the name uncultured Paraglomus. RNAcentral's name for it is "SSU rRNA". It matches the Rfam family "Eukaryotic small subunit ribosomal RNA", at positions 550 to 1114 of the family's 1831-position model. The record is from RNAcentral. Lineage: Eukaryota; Fungi; Glomeromycota; Glomeromycetes; Paraglomerales; Paraglomeraceae.
UUGGAGGGCAAGUCUGGUGCCAGCAGCCGCGGUAAUUCCAGCUCCAAUAGCGUAUAUUAAAGUUGUUGCAGUUAAAAAGCUYGUAGUUGAAUUUCAGGCCUGGCUGGACGGUCCGCCCUUCGGGUGAGUACUGUCUGUGGUCGGGUCCUACCUUCUGGCGAAGCGUCAUGGCCUUAACCGGCCGUGGCGGGGAACCAGGACUUCUACUGUGAAAAAAUUAGAGUGUUCAAAGCAGGCAAAUCGCUUGGAUACAUUAGCAUGGAAUAAUGGAAUAGGACAAUGGUUCUAUUUGUUGGUUUCUAGGACCGUUGUAAUGAUUAAUAGGGAUAGUUGGGGGCAUUAGUAUUCAAUUGUCAGAGGUGAAAUUCUUGGAUUUAUUGAAGACUAACUACUGCGAAAGCAUUUGCCAAGGAUGUUUUCAUUAAUCAAGAACGAAAGUUAGGGGAUCGAAGACGAUCAGAUACCGUCGUAGUCUUAACCAUAAACUAUGCCGACUAGGAAUCGGGCGAUGUUGAAAAAAUGACGCGCUCGGCACCUUAUGGGAAACCAAAG